Molecule: long non-coding RNA, 812 nt
Filed under: Homo sapiens (human)
Lineage: Eukaryota; Metazoa; Chordata; Mammalia; Primates; Hominidae
Description: HSALNT0007271
Source: RNAcentral
UUUGGAUGUGGGCUCAGACAUUAGGAGCAGGCAGUAUCUUUUCUUUUUCUUUUUCUUUCUUUCUUUUUUUUUUUUUUUGACAGGAUGGGCUGGGGUUGGGGGAGGAGGAAGCAAGAAUUAAGCAGAGAAGGCAAGCUCCUUUCUGUUCAUCUAACUCAAACUGACGAGUCAUUGAGCUGACUCCAAUCAGCAGGAUCCCCUGGUCGCCUGACUCAGGCCUCCCCAGUCAGAGGUAGAGUCUGCGGUGGACAGACAGACAGGUCUGGAGAGGCUGGUAAGUAAGAACUCCCCGAGUGCCUCCGCCAAGAACCGAUUUGAAGAGGUUGCCAUUCACUCUGUCAGGCUGCGUGUGGGAUUCAUCAGGACCCAGCCUCGCUUUCUUUCACCCCGCAUCAAUGUGCCCUAAAGGAUUUUUCUUUAAACCUGAUUGCUUGGAAGGCAUUCAACCCUGGUUACCAUCUGGUCGGCUGGACCAUGAAUGUUUCAAGGGCAAGGCCAUGUCUGAUUCAAUUCCACAUCCACAGCACGUAAAGCAACGUCUGGCAGAGCAAAGAACUCACCCAUCAAUUGAAUGACAUCAUGGCCAAUCUACGAGUUCUGGCUUACUUCUCAUGCUAUUAUCACAUCUGCCAAGGCCAUUCCUGCUUACCCAAGGAAGAUGAGUGAACAGUCAGCACUCAGUUUAUAAUACGAGCAUGAUGAACUGAUACAUCUCCAGCCAAAAAUGGUGGUAAGAAAAAUUCUUUUCAGUUCUCUUAGCAUGGUGGCCCUAUUAUGGGUAUAAUAUGAUUUCCUUGAAGUCUUGUAAAAUU